Molecule: transfer RNA, 73 nt
Filed under: Mustelus mustelus (smooth-hound)
Lineage: Eukaryota; Metazoa; Chordata; Chondrichthyes; Carcharhiniformes; Triakidae
Description: tRNA-Asn
Source: RNAcentral
UAGAUAGAAGUUCGCUGGAUUGAACACUUAGUUGUUAAUUAAGCUUUUACAGGAUCGAGGCCUGUCUAUCUAG